RNAcentral lists this transfer RNA (86 nucleotides) under Pseudomonadota bacterium. Its description in RNAcentral is "Proteobacteria bacterium tRNA-Leu". It matches the Rfam family "tRNA". From Rfam's summary of the family: Transfer RNA (tRNA) molecules are approximately 80 nucleotides in length. Their secondary structure includes four short double-helical elements and three loops (D, anti-codon, and T loops). Further hydrogen bonds mediate the characteristic L-shaped molecular structure. tRNAs have two regions of fundamental functional importance: the anti-codon, which is responsible for specific mRNA codon recognition, and the 3' end, to which the tRNAs corresponding amino acid is attached (by aminoacyl-tRNA synthetases). tRNAs cope with the degeneracy of the genetic code in two manners: having more than one tRNA (with a specific anti-codon) for a particular amino acid; and 'wobble' base-pairing, i.e. permitting non-standard base-pairing at the 3rd anti-codon position. Lineage: Bacteria; Pseudomonadati; Pseudomonadota. The record is from RNAcentral.
GCCGAUGUGGUGAAAUUGGUAUACACGCUAUCUUGAGGUGGUAGUGGCUUAUAGCUGUGUGGGUUCGAGUCCCAUCGUCGGCACCA